GACGAACGCUGGCGGCGUGCUUAACACAUGCAAGUCGAACGGAAAGGCCCUGCUUUUGUGGGGUGCUCGAGUGGCGAACGGGUGAGUAACACGUGAGUAACCUGCCCUUGACUUUGGGAUAACUUCAGGAAACUGGGGCUAAUACCGGAUAGGAGCUCCUGCUGCAUGGUGGGGGUUGGAAAGUUUCGGCGGUUGGGGAUGGACGCGCGGCUUAUCAGCUUGUUGGUUGGGUAGUGGCUUACCAAGGCUUUGACGGGUAGCCGGCCUGAGAGGGUGACCGGCCACAUUGGGACUGAGAUACGGCGCAGACUCCUACGGGAGGCAGCAGUGGGGAAUAUUGCACAAUGGGCGGAAGCCUGAUGCAGCAACGCCGCGUGCGGGAUGACGGCCUUCGGGUUGUAAACCGCUUUCGCCUGUGACGAAGCGUGAGUGACGGUAAUGGGUAAAGAAGCACCGGCUAACUACGUG
RNAcentral lists this ribosomal RNA (468 nucleotides) under uncultured bacterium. Its description in RNAcentral is "partial 16S ribosomal RNA". It matches the Rfam family "Bacterial small subunit ribosomal RNA", at positions 28 to 507 of the family's 1533-position model. The record is from RNAcentral.